Molecule: unclassified non-coding RNA, 21 nt
Filed under: Mus musculus (house mouse)
Lineage: Eukaryota; Metazoa; Chordata; Mammalia; Rodentia; Muridae
Description: oocyte_clustered_small_RNA573
Source: RNAcentral
AAAAGCACAGGACCUGAUGGG